RNAcentral lists this ribosomal RNA (892 nucleotides) under uncultured bacterium. RNAcentral's name for it is "bacterial SSU rRNA". It matches the Rfam family "Bacterial small subunit ribosomal RNA", at positions 8 to 916 of the family's 1533-position model. The record is from RNAcentral.
AGAGUUUGAUCAUGGCUCAGGAACAACGCUGGCGGCGUGCCUAAUGCAUGCAAGUCGAACGGGAGCCGCUUCGGCGGUCGACCGUGGCGGACGGGUGAGGAACACGUGGGCAACCCAUCCAAGCGCGGGGGAUAACGGCGGGAAACCGUCGGUAAUACCCCAUGAGCUUGAUCUCCGUUGGGGAGAUGAAGCAAAGGUUGAGAGACCGUGCUUGGCGGGGCCUGCGGCCUAUCAGCUAGAUGGGGGGGUAGUGGCCCACCAUGGCGACGACGGGUAGCUGGUCUGAGAGGACGAUCAGCCACACGGGGACUGAGACACGGCCCCGACUCCUACGGGAGGCAGCAGCAAGGAAUUUUCCGCAAUGGGCGCAAGCCUGACGGAGCGACGCCGCGUGGAGGAAGACACUUUUCGGAGCGUAAACUCCUUUUCUGGGGGAUGAAGGGAGUGACAGUACCCCAGGAAGAAGGACCGGCUAACUACGUGCCAGCAGCCGCGGUAAGACGUAGGGUCCGAGCGUUGUCCGGAGUUACUGGGCGUAAGGGCGCGUAGGCGGCUUUGUGCGUCACACGUGAAAGCCCCUGGCUCAACCAGGGAGGGUCGUGUGAAACGGUGAAGCUGGAGGCAGAGAGAGGCUGGUGGAAUUCCCGGAGUAGUGGUGAAAUGCGUAGAUAUCGGGAGGAACACCGGUGGCGAAGGCGGCCAGCUGGCUCUGACCUGACGCUGAGGCGCGAAGGCGUGGGGAGCGAACGGGAUUAGAUACCCCGGUAGUCCACGCAGUAAACGAUGUGGGCUAGGUGUGGGGGGAGUUGACCCCCUCCGUGCCGGCGCAAACGCAGUAAGUCCACCGCCUGGGGAGUACGGCCGCAAGGCUAAAACUCAAAGGAAUUGACGG